GACGAACGCUGGCGGCGUGCUUAACACAUGCAAGUCGAGCGGUAAGGCCCUUUCGGGAGUACACGAGCGGCGAACGGGUGAGUAACACGUGGGUGACCUGCCCUUAGCUCUGGGAUAAGCCUGGGAAACUGGGUCUAAUACCGGAUAUGACUCCAUGACGCAUGUUGUGGGGUGGAAAGCCUUGUGCGGCUAGGGAUGGGCCCGCGGCCUAUCAGCUUGUUGGUGGGGUGAUGGCCACCAAGGCGACGACGGGUAGCCGGCCUGAGAGGGCGACCGGCCACACUGGGACUGAGACACGGCCCAGACUCCUACGGGAGGCAGCAGUGGGGAAUCUUGCGCAAUGGGCGAAAGCCUGACGCAGCGACGCCGCGUGAGGGAUGACGGCCUCGGUUGUAACC
This 398-nucleotide ribosomal RNA is filed under the name uncultured bacterium. RNAcentral describes it as "bacterial SSU rRNA". It matches the Rfam family "Bacterial small subunit ribosomal RNA", at positions 28 to 430 of the family's 1533-position model. The record is from RNAcentral.